This 468-nucleotide ribosomal RNA is filed under the name uncultured bacterium. RNAcentral's name for it is "partial 16S ribosomal RNA". It matches the Rfam family "Bacterial small subunit ribosomal RNA", at positions 28 to 507 of the family's 1533-position model. The record is from RNAcentral.
GACGAACGCUGGCGGCGUGCUUAACACAUGCAAGUCGAACGGAAAGGCCCUGCUUUUGUGGGGUGCUCGAGUGGCGAACGGGUGAGUAACACGUGAGUAACCUGCCCUUGACUUUGGGAUAACUUCAGGAAACUGGGGCUAAUACCGGAUAGGAGCUCCUGCUGCAUGGUGGGGGUUGGAAAGUUUCGGCGGUUGGGGAUGGACUCGCGGCUUAUCAGCUUGUUGGUGGGGUAGUGGCUUACCAAGGCUUUGACGGGUAGCCGGCCUGAGAGGGUGACCGGCCACAUUGGGACUGAGAUACGGCCCAGACUCCUACGGGAGGCAGCAGUGGGGAAUAUUGCACAAUGGGCGGAAGCAUGAUGAAGCAACGCCGCGUGAGGGAUGACGGACUUAGGGUUGUAAACCGCUUUCGCCUGUGACGAAGCGUGAGUGACGGUAAUGGGUAAAGAAGCACCGGCUAACUACGUG